UACGAAGGGGGCUAGCGUUACUCGGAAUUACUGGGCGUAAAGCGCGCGUAGGCGGCUUUGCAAGUCGGGUGUGAAAUCCCCAGGCUUAACCUGGGAACUGCAUUCGAGACUGCAUUGCUAGAGUAUGGGAGAGGGAAGUGGAAUUUCCGGUGUAGCGGUGAAAUGCGUAGAUAUCGGAAGGAACAUCAGUGGCGAAAGCGACUUCCUGGACCAAUACUGACGCUCAUGUGCGAAAGCGUGGGGAGCAAACAGG
Molecule: ribosomal RNA, 253 nt
Filed under: uncultured bacterium
Lineage: Bacteria
Description: partial 16S ribosomal RNA
Rfam family: Bacterial small subunit ribosomal RNA
Source: RNAcentral